GAUGAACGCUGGCGGCGUGCCUAAUACAUGCAAGUCGAGCGAACAGAUGAGGAGCUUGCUCCUCUGACGUUAGCGGCGGACGGGUGAGUAACACGUGGAUAACCUACCUAUAAGACUGGGAUAACUUCGGGAAACCGGAGCUAAUACCGGAUAAUAUAUUGAACCGCAUGGUUCAAUAGUGAAAGACGGUUUUGCUGUCACUUAUAGAUGGAUCCGCGCCGCAUUAGCUAGUUGGUAAGGUAACGGCUUACCAAGGCAACGAUGCGUAGCCGACCUGAGAGGGUGAUCGGCCACACUGGAACUGAGACACGGUCCAGACUCCUACGGGAGGCAGCAGUAGGGAAUCUUCCGCAAUGGGCGAAAGCUUGACGGAGCAACGCCGCGUGAGUGAUGAAGGUCUUCGGAUCGUAAAACUCUGUUAUUAGGGAAGAUCAAAUGUGUAAGUAACUAUGCACGUCUUGACGGUACCUAAUCAGAAAGCCACGGCUAACUACGUG
RNAcentral lists this ribosomal RNA (497 nucleotides) under uncultured bacterium. RNAcentral describes it as "partial 16S ribosomal RNA". It matches the Rfam family "Bacterial small subunit ribosomal RNA", at positions 28 to 507 of the family's 1533-position model. The record is from RNAcentral.